Non-coding RNA from Trichuris suis (pig whipworm), 113 nucleotides. Lineage: Eukaryota; Metazoa; Nematoda; Enoplea; Trichinellida; Trichuridae. The record is from the annotation of a GenBank genome assembly.
CAACCCUUUCGGGUUUCCAAAAAUUUCUACUCUGUUCUCAUAAAUGUUCCUGUGCACGGAAAUCUUUAGUAAAAGGCGAAAGAUUUAUGCGGCAUGCACAGGAACCAGAGAUA